AAUAGAUACCCGGGUAGUCCACGCCGUAAACGAUGAGUGCUAGGUGUUAGGGGGUUUCCGCCCCUUAGUGCUGCAGCUAACGCAUUAAGCACUCCGCCUGGGGAGUACGGUCGCAAGACUGAAACUCAAAGGAAUUGACGGGGGCCCGCACAAGCGGUGGAGCAUGUGGUUUAAUUCGAAGCAACGCGAAGAACCUUACCAGGUCUUGACAUCCCGCUGACCGCCAUGGAGACAUGGCUUUCCCUUCGGGGACAGCGGUGACAGGUGGUGCAUGGUUGUCGUCAGCUCGUGUCGUGAGAUGUUGGGUUAAGUCCCGCAACGAGCGCAACCCUUGUCCUUAGUUGCCAUCAUUCAGUUGGGCACUCUAAGGAGACUGCCGUACAAAUACGGAGGAAGGUGGGGAUGACGUCAAAUCAUCAUGCCCCUUAUGACCUGGGCUACACACGUGCUACAAUGGGUGGUACAAAGGGGCAGCAAACCCCGCGAGGGGGAGCGAAUCCCGAAAAAGCCACUCUCAGUUCGGAUUGCAGGCUGCAACC
This 539-nucleotide ribosomal RNA is filed under the name uncultured bacterium. Its description in RNAcentral is "bacterial SSU rRNA". It matches the Rfam family "Bacterial small subunit ribosomal RNA", at positions 777 to 1312 of the family's 1533-position model. The record is from RNAcentral.